Molecule: long non-coding RNA, 3316 nt
Organism: Homo sapiens (human)
Lineage: Eukaryota; Metazoa; Chordata; Mammalia; Primates; Hominidae
Exons: 2
Source: RefSeq, a predicted model, not a curated record
AGCCUGGGCAAUAGAGUGAGACUCCAUCUCAAAACAAAACAAAACAAAACAAAAAAACAAACAAAAAACAACCUAUGUCUGAUCUUGUCACCCUUCUGAAACCAUCCAGUGGUUCCUACCUCAGUAGCAGUCAAAGGCAAAGUCAAACAGUGACCCCCUCAUGGCACGCAUCUGCUGACCUACAACUGGGCAGUGAAUAUAGACAUUUGCAUUUACCUGUCUGGAACUUGGUCAUUUUCGUUUGGGCCUGUUGUGUCAGCUUGUCCGAGCUCUCUUGGAUCCUCUUUUCAACAUAUUGCCAUAAUAAAUUAUUCCUCUCAGGUUUAUGUCACUGGUUAGCAAGGUGCUAACCAGUCUGCCCCCACGACCACUUCAGAGCCUUUGGACUUGCUCUUUUCUUCGCCGGGUUCUCUGGGAUAUCCUGUGGAUCACAAAAUAACCCUUCAAGUCAUCGCUGAAAUCAUCUGUGUGAGACUUUCCUGACUACCUUGUUUUAUGUUGUAAACCAGUUUCCGAGUACUCCUGCCCCCUUUCUGCUUUAUUUUACUCCAUAUCUUACUCAUUUGUUUAUUAUCAUCUUUCCUUAUCACAACCUUAGCUUCAUAAAGUUAUGCCCUCUUUAUUCAUACUCAACACAUUUGCGAAAGCAAAACGUGAAUUGCAUUGCAUUGCAUUGCUCUUCCAUUUAGCAAUUUGGAAUGGCUUCCCAUUUGCAUUUAGAAACAUGAGUCCAAACUCCUUUCUACAGUUUAUAAGGCCCUGCAUAAUCUCCCCACUGCCUGUCUUUCCACCCUCUUCUCAUCCACCCUUCCCCUGUCCAUUCAGUGGAGCCUCCGUGGUUUGCCUUUAGCUUCUCAGACAUGCCAUGGCCUUUGGACAAACAUCUUCCACAUAUAUUCUUUCCCACUCUUCCUUUGCUUAACCAGCUCUUUUUCUUUCUUUUGGUUUCCAAUUCAAUGUCUCUACUUCACUGGCUACUAAUGUAUACUCUGUUAUUCUCUCACAGCACCUCAUUCCCCUCCUUCAUGGAGCUUAUUAUAAGUUUUUUAUUAUUUUAUUGUUCAUUUGCUUUUAAACAAUCAGUUUCUUCCAUUAAAAUGUAGGUUGUUUGAGGACAGAGACUUUUACUUGUCUUAUUCUCUUUUGUAUUCAGUGCCCCAGUGCCCUGAUUGCAAUUAGGGUCACAGUAACUGGAUGGAUAGGUGGGUGAAGAGAUGGCCAAGUGACUGCCUCAAGUAACACAGUAACUGGAUGGAUAGGUGGGUGAAGAGAUGGCCAAGUGACUGCCUCAAGUAACACAGUAACUGGAUGGAUAGGUGGGUGAAGAGAUGGCCAAGUGACUGCCUCAAGUAACACAGUAACUGGAUGGAUAGGUGGGUCAAGAGAUGGCCAAGUGACUGCCUCAAGUAACACAGUAACUGGAUGGAUAGGUGGGUCAAGAGAUGGCCAGUUGACUGCCUCAAGUAACACAGUAACUGGAUGGAUAGGUGGGUGAAGAGACGGCCAAGUGACUGCCUCAAGUAACACAGUAACUGGAUGGAUAGGUAGGUGAAGAGAUGGCCAAGUGACUGCCUCAAGUAAAUUUCUCAUUUUACUACCCACUACCCAAUGAAUCUGAACAAGUUACUGAAAAUGUGCAAGCUUCAGUUUUCCUCUUUGUAAAAUGAGGAUAGAUACAAUGCCUACCUUAUAGGAUUUUGUAAAAUUUUAGGUCAUCUAUGUUAACCUCAUAGUACAAUGCAUGACAUGUAAUAAUUGCUCAAUACACACUAAUAAUUACUAGUUUUACUAAUACUGUGAUCCUUAGCUUUUCCACCUUCAUCUCUCUCCCAUCUGUGUCCCAUUUUAUCACAUUGCUUUCCAGAGUCGUGAUGAUUACUGAAUAUGAGACUGCUAGUUUGAACUGCCCAGUGCAUAGCAGUGGAGCUAUUGCCUAAGCUUAUGUUAAUCUAGCAUCAGAGCCAACUAUCAUUUGCCUUAUUGUUUAUCAAAUAUGUCUCAUUGUAAAUUCUUAUUGAGCUUAAAAUUCAAUUAAAACCCCUCAUGGCACGCAUCUGCUGACCUACAACUGGGUGGUGAAUAUAGACAUUUGCAUUUACCUGUCUGGAACUUGGUCAUUUUCGUUUGGGCCUGUCGUGUCAGCUUGUCCGAGCUCUCUUGGAUCCUCUUUUCAACAUAUUGCCAUAAUAAAUUCUUCCUCUGAGGUUUGUGUCACAGACACAUUUGAUCAGCACAUCGGUGGCAUCCUCAUUAAAGUCAGUGGUCUAAAUAGUAUAGCACAGAGAGCAUCACAGAGCCUAUGACCUGCAGCUUCCUUGUAAUUUGAUAUUUGCUGUUCUGUCUUCCAUGUGAUUUGUUCUAAUUGAUGUUUAAGAACCAGAUCAUGUUUAUUUUUCUGUUUAAGAACCAGACCAUUGCCUUCUUCAAAAUAAUUCUAGUCAAAUAAAAAAAUUAUUUUUAUGCCUACUGUGUGUAAGUAGCUUGCCUAGAUACCGAUGAACCAUGUGACAGAAGCUUGCCUUGAUGGUGGGCAAUGAGGAAAUCGGGCAUGGAUGGCUAAGAAAUCAAAGUGCCGUUGUAAAUAUGGAGCAGAUUUGUAGUUUGGCAGGAUAUAAACCCGUGUUGGGAAACUCCCAAUGAGAGGUCAAAAUUGAAAUGGGGCUGUCUGAAAUUCCAUUUUGUUCAUCUAGAUAACCUGGAUAAAUGGGCUAAAUUGGAAAUUUGAGUCUUAAAAUCAUUUUUUUGAGAUUUCUCCUAUUCAUUCUAUUGACUUACUCUCCAUUUUAAAGUCUUUUGUCCUAAUCAUUUACCCUAUAUCUCUCUGUUCUAUGCCUAUUUUAUUUUUCUUUAUGAAAAUGGGUGAAAGCAGGAAUUUUGCUAGUUUUCUAAUUAUCACAGCAUAUAAAUUCAGUAAUGUAUGUGAAAGUGUUUUCUAAACUAUGAAAAGCUGUAUACAUACAUAGGAAUAGAAUGGAUUGUCAAUAAAUUGAAGAGAUGAGUUUACUCCUUUGUAUGUGGAAGCUGUUAAUUUAAAAUAACACACUCAAAAUAUUAGCUAAAAAUCUACUUCACAUUUUGGUGCUGCUUGCUAAAAUUAGUUAGAAAAUAUAGGUUAUUUUUGAGUUAAAACCAAGUUCAAUAAAUUCUUAAGUUCCUCAAAUAGAAUUUUACAGAAAUAUUUACAUAACCCACAGCUAAAGUGAGUUUUCUAAGAACUCCCCAUAAGGUGAGAUCACGUACACCAUGUCUCAGUACAGAAGGAUUUUUUUUUCAAUCAGUUAUGUCUCUAUAAAUAAACCUAGUUUUGUUGUUAAAA